This 386-nucleotide ribosomal RNA is filed under the name uncultured bacterium. RNAcentral's name for it is "bacterial SSU rRNA". It matches the Rfam family "Bacterial small subunit ribosomal RNA", at positions 88 to 471 of the family's 1533-position model. The record is from RNAcentral.
UACCUUAGUGGCGGACGGGUGAGGAAUACGUAGGAAUUUGCCCUUAAGUGGGGGAUAGCCCGGGGAAACCCGGAUUAAUACCGCAUGAUCUCGAAAGAGCAAAGUGGGGGAUCGCAAGACCUCACGCUUUUGGAGAAGCCUACGUCGGAUUAGCUAGUUGGUGAGGUAAUGGCUCACCAAGGCGACGAUCCGUAACUGGUCUGAGAGGAUGAUCAGUCACACCGGAACUGAGACACGGUCCGGACUCCUACGGGAGGCAGCAGUGGGGAAUAUUGGACAAUGGGCGCAAGCCUGAUCCAGCAAUGCCGCGUGUGUGAAGAAGGCCUUCGGGUUGUAAAGCACUUUAAGUUGGGAAGAAAAAACUCGCUCUAACAUAGUGAGUCUUG